UUCAUGCAAACCCAUAAACAACCAUAUCUUUUCCGCAGCGACGCCUGGGGCCGAGUCCCGCAAGCAGCGCAAGCAGCUAGACUGCAGACUGCGGCGCUGGCGGGGCCACUCCUCCCGCGACACUCUGAAGCUCCCCUUCUCCCUCCGGAUUUCGAAGGGUUCCGGACCCCGCUAAGACCCCGCCCUUGAAGUCCAGCCCCGGGAAAGGGAGGCGGAGAGAACCCCGCGGCCCCAGCCCACCGGAGCAGCGCCGCAGGAAAACCCUGCGUCCCCUCCCCAGCUGGCAGGAGUAGCCCCGGCGGCGAGCGCCCAGCAGCUCCCAGGUUGUGGCAUUAAGCCCACUUGAAAACAUCACAGCCUUGCCCUGGGUCGCCAGAGAAGCUGCUAGGACAGAUGUUUGGUUCCCAGAGCAAACAUAGCGGUUAAAGAACAGAAUGGAUUCCCAACAAUCUGAAGACAUCCCUUUGCUACAUCCCACCCUGGGACUUACCACGCCUCCAGGAGCAUCAGCAGAACCACCCAGGAGCUGUUUCUGUGGCUUUAAAACUGAUUCUCCGCCAGGAUUCACUGAUAGCCUCAGAAUAUUCCUCCAACCUCAACUUCCUGUGCUGAGACCCGUGAAGAAGACUGAAUCCCAGUCUCUCACUAAACUCGGAGCUCAGCUUGAGCAGACUGGCUGGCCACCACUCCGGGAAGUCUACUGUCUUCGCCUCCCCGGCACUGGGAUUACGGCACUGCAUCACCAAAUGCGACCUUUCGUUCUUUUCCUUCUGAGAUCUCGCUGCACAGCCCUGGUUGGUCUGGAGCUCAUAUAUAGACCAGGCUGGCCUCAAACUCAUGAAGAUUCCCCCCGUCCCCGCACCCCAUGCAACCUCUGCCUCCUGAGUGCUAGGAUUAAAGGCAUUCAACUCCAGGCUCUAUUCUGAACCCAAAGUGAGUUCAGAAAGUGAGUUCAGAACCCUAACUCGGGCCCUCAUACCUACCUGCAAACAGCUUACUGACAGCCAUGCCCCAGAGCCUCCUCAUUUAUUCGUCAUGUAUGUGACAGGUCUUACCUUACAGCCUGGGGUAGCAGCGAACUCCGAUCCUCCUGCCUCAGCCUCCAGGAGUGCUGGGAUGAUAGGCGUGAGUGUAUUUUUUUUUAGUUUUUUGUUUGGCUGGCUGGGAGUUGGUUGAGGUUUGUUGUUUUGAGACAGAAUUUCACCACGUGGCCCUGGCUGGCCAGAACUCAUUCUGUAGAGAAU
Molecule: long non-coding RNA, 1244 nt
Organism: Myodes glareolus (Bank vole)
Lineage: Eukaryota; Metazoa; Chordata; Mammalia; Rodentia; Cricetidae
Source: RefSeq, a predicted model, not a curated record